This is an RNA transcript of Mandrillus leucophaeus (drill), 1425 nucleotides long. It is a transcript of the gene named citrate synthase, mitochondrial-like, with no coding region annotated. NCBI's taxonomy places the organism in Eukaryota, Metazoa, Chordata, Mammalia, Primates, Cercopithecidae. The transcript is spliced from 2 exons. The record is from RefSeq and is a predicted model, not a curated record.
CCCCCAGCUGGGCACCUGCUGCGGAUCGCAGAGGUCACUCACCAUGUUUUUACCCAGUGCAGCUGCCAGGCUCUUGGGAAGCAACAGUGCAUCUUGUCUUGUUCUGCUGCCUGGCAUGCCAGUGCUUCCUCCAAGAAUUUGAAAGACUUAUUGGCUGACCUGAUAGUUAAGGAGCAGGCCAGAAUUAAGACCUUCAGGCAGCGACAUGGCAAGAAGGUGGUGGGCCAAAUCACUGCAGAAGCAAUGUAUGGCGACAUGAGAGGCAUUAAGGGACUGGUGUAUAAAACAUCCGUUCUUGAUCCUCAUGAGGGUUUCUGUUUCCAAGGCUUUAGUAUCCCUGAAUACCAAAAACUGCUACCCAAGGCUAAGGGUGGGGAAGGACCCCUACCCAGGGGACUUAUUUUGGCUGCUGGUAACUGGACAGACCCCAAGAGAGGUACAGGUAUCUUGGCUCUCGAGAGAGUGGGCAAAGAGGGCAGCUCUACCUUCCCAUGUGGUCACCAUGCUGGACAACGUUCCCACCAAUCUAUACCCAUGUUUGAGCUCGUGAAGCCAUGGCAGCCCUAAACAACUUUCCCUGAGCACAUGCAGAGGGUGCCAGCCGAACCAAGUACUGGGAGUUGAUUUAUGAAGACCAUGUAUAUCUAAUCACAAAGCUACCUUGUGUUGCAGCAAAGGUCUACCGAAAUCUCUACUGAGAGGGCAGCAGUAUUGGGGCCACUGACUCUAAGCUGGACUGGUCCCACAGUUUCACCAACAUGUUAGGCUAUACUGAUGCUCAGUUCACUGAGCUCAUGCACCUGUAGCUCACCAUCCACAGUGACCAUGAGCACAGCAAUGUAAGUGCUUAUAGCAGCCACUUGGCGGGCAGUGCCCUACCUACCCUGUCCCUACCCUGUCCUUUGCAGCAGCCAUGAACGGGCUGGCAGGUCCUCUGCAUGGACUGGCAAAUCAGGAAGUGCCUGUCUGGCUAACACAACUACAGAAGGAAGUCGGCAAAGAUGUGUCAGAUGAGAAGUUACAAGACUACUUUCAACUCGAGAUGGGUUGUUCCAGGCUAUGGCCAUGCAGUGCUAAGGAAGACUGAGCCACAGUGUACCUGUCAGCAAGAGUUUGCUCUGAAACACCGCAUAAUGAUCCCAUGUUUAAGUUGGUUGCUCAGUUAUACAAGAUUGUGCCCAAUAUCCUCUGAGAUUAGGGUAAGGCCAAGAAUCCUGGGCCCAAAGUAGAUGCGCAUGGUGGGGUGCUCUCCUGUACUAUAGCAUGACGGAGAUACAUUGCUAUGCGGUCCUGUUUGGGGCAUCACAGGCAUUGGGUGUACUGGCACAGCUCAUCUGGAGCUGAGCCCGAGACUUCCCUCUAGAAAGACCCAAGUCCGUGAGCACAGGUGGUCUGAUGAAGUCUGUGGACUCUAUGUCAGGAUAA